ACUCAAAGGAAUAGACGGGGACCCGCACAAGCGGUGGAUGAUGUGGAUUAAUUCGAUGCAACGCGAAAAACCUUACCUACCCUUGACAUGUCUGGAAUUCCGAAGAGAUUUGGAAGUGCUCGCAAGAGAACCGGAACACAGGUGCUGCAUGGCUGUCGUCAGCUCGUGUCGUGAGAUGUUGGGUUAAGUCCCGCAACGAGCGCAACCCUUGUCAUUAGUUGCUACGAAAGGGCACUCUAAUGAGACUGCCGGUGACAAACCGGAGGAAGGUGGGGAUGACGUCAAGUCCUCAUGGCCCUUAUGGGUAGGGCUUCACACGUCAUACAAUGGUCGGGACAGAGGGUCGCCAACCCGCGAGGGGGAGCUAAUCCCAGAAACCCGAUCGUAGUCCGGAUCGCAGUCUGCAACUCGACUGCGUGAAGUCGGAAUCGCUAGUAAUCGCGGAUCAGCAUGUCGCGGUGAAUACGUUCCCGGGUCUUGCACACACCGCCCGU
RNAcentral lists this ribosomal RNA (494 nucleotides) under uncultured bacterium. Its description in RNAcentral is "partial 16S ribosomal RNA". It matches the Rfam family "Bacterial small subunit ribosomal RNA", at positions 899 to 1397 of the family's 1533-position model. The record is from RNAcentral.